GCUGCGCAGAUCGAGGUUGCUCGCGCUCUGAACGCAGAGCCGCAUUCCAGUCGCGCCACGGAACGGGAUAUUUUGGCGAGUUUGGGAAUUUAACUAUGACUAGGGCAUGCCAUCCAAGGAUCAUUCCAACGUGAGCCCCGGACAAGGAAUUGAGGUGAAUGCUGAAGUGGAUGACUGUUUUGUGGGAAGGCAAGGAAGCGUUGAAU
Sinocyclocheilus grahami is the source of this 206-nucleotide long non-coding RNA. RefSeq lists it as uncharacterized. Lineage: Eukaryota; Metazoa; Chordata; Actinopteri; Cypriniformes; Cyprinidae. The transcript has 2 exons. The record is from RefSeq and is a predicted model, not a curated record.